This 424-nucleotide ribosomal RNA is filed under the name uncultured bacterium. RNAcentral's name for it is "partial 16S ribosomal RNA". It matches the Rfam family "Bacterial small subunit ribosomal RNA", at positions 360 to 776 of the family's 1533-position model. The record is from RNAcentral.
AAUAUUGGACAAUGGGGGAAACCCUGAUCCAGCCAUCCCGCGUGUAUGAUGAAGGCCUUCGGGUUGUAAAGCACUUUAAGUUGGGAGGAAGGGCAGUAAGUUAAUACCUUGCUGUUUUGACGUUACCAACAGAAUAAGCACCGGCUAACUUCGUGCCAGCAGCCGCGGUAAUACGAAGGGUGCAAGCGUUAAUCGGAAUUACUGGGCGUAAAGCGCGCGUAGGUGGUUCGUUAAGUUGGAAGUGAAAGCCCCGGGCUUAACCUGGGAAUUGCUUUCAAAACUGACGAGCUAGAGUACGGUAGAGGGUAGUGGAAUUUCCUGCGUAGCGGUGAAAUGCGUAGAUAUAGGAAGGAACAUCAGUGGCGAAGGCGACUACCUGGACUGAUACUGACACUGAGGUGCGAAAGCGUGGGGAGCAAACAGG